AUUGAACGCUGGCGGCAGGCCUAACACAUGCAAGUCGAGCGGAUGAAGGGAGCUUGCUCCUGGAUUCAGCGGCGGACGGGUGAGUAAUGCCUAGGUAUCUGCCUGGUAGUGGGGGAUAACGUCCGGAAACGGGCGCUAAUACCGCAUACGUCCUGAGGGUGAAAGUGGGGGAUCUUCGGACCUCACGCUAUCAGAUGAGCCUAGGUCGGAUUAGCUAGUUGGUGGGGUAAAGGCCUACCAAGGCGACGAUCCGUAACUGGUCUGAGAGGAUGAUCAGUCACACUGGAACUGAGACACGGUCCAGACGCCUACGGGAGGCAGCAGUGGGGAAUAUUGGACAAUGGGCGAAAGCCUGAUCCAGCCACGCCGCGUGUGUGAAGAAGGUCUUCGGAUUGGAAAGCACUAUAAGUAGGGAGGAAGGGCAGUAAGGUAAGGCGUUGCUGUAUUGACGUUACCAACAGAAUAAGCACCGGCUAACUUCGUG
This 484-nucleotide ribosomal RNA is filed under the name uncultured bacterium. RNAcentral's name for it is "partial 16S ribosomal RNA". It matches the Rfam family "Bacterial small subunit ribosomal RNA", at positions 30 to 507 of the family's 1533-position model. The record is from RNAcentral.